Molecule: ribosomal RNA, 450 nt
Filed under: uncultured bacterium
Lineage: Bacteria
Description: bacterial SSU rRNA
Rfam family: Bacterial small subunit ribosomal RNA
Source: RNAcentral
UUUCCAGACUCCUACGGGAGGCAGCAGUGGGGAAUAUUGCACAAUGGGGGGAACCCUGAUGCAGCAACGCCGCGUGAAGGAAGAAGUAAUUCGUUAUGUAAACUUCUAUCGACAGGGAAGAAAGAAAUGACGGUACCUGAAUAAGAAGCCCCGGCUAAUUACGUGCCAGCAGCCGCGGUAAUACGUAAGGGGCAAGCGUUAUCCGGAUUUACUGGGUGUAAAGGGUGAGUAGGCGGCGAUGCAAGUCAUAUGUGAAAUUCCGGGGCUUAACUCCGGAGCUGCAUAAGAAACUGCGUUGCUUGAGUGCAGGAGAGGCAAGCGGAAUUCCUAGUGUAGCGGUGAAAUGCGUAGAUAUUAGGAAGAACACCGGUGGCGAAGGCGGCUUGCUGGACUGUAACUGACGCUGAGUCACGAAAGCGUGGGGAGCGAACAGGAUUAGAUACCCCAGUA